UACGUAGGCAGCGAGCGUUGUUCGGAAUUACUGGGCGUAAAGUGUGCGCAGGCGGCCGCGCAAGUCGAGUGUGAAAGCCCCGGGCUUAACUUGGGAAUUGCGCUCGAAACUACGUGGCUGGAGUGUGGCAGAGGAAGGUGGAAUUCCAGGUGUAGCGGUGAAAUGCGUAGAGAUCUGGAGGAACACCGAUGGCGAAGGCAGCCUUCUGGGCCAACACUGACGCUCAUGCACGAAAGCGUGGGGAGCAAACAGG
Molecule: ribosomal RNA, 253 nt
Filed under: uncultured bacterium
Lineage: Bacteria
Description: partial 16S ribosomal RNA
Rfam family: Bacterial small subunit ribosomal RNA
Source: RNAcentral